CAAAAUAGGAUUGUCGACCAAUGACAUAGAUAGCAUUCUAGAAACUGAAGAUUCAAGGAAAUGGAAUUUUGAAGUUUUGAGACGAUGCAGAGAUAGUAUUGUGGUUACUUUUAAGCACAUCAAAGAAGCAGUGGAGGGAAGUGGCCAAGAGAGUAUCCACAUACUUUGCAAGCUUGUGAAAGGCGAUUCUAUUGAUUUUGAAAAGGAAGCAGAUAAGUGGGAUAUGGUACUUACAGAGAAGCACAUUGACAGAUUGGCUCCAUUGGUUGGAAAUAACUCACUCCCGUUCCUGAUAGAACUUGGAAUGGAGUUUCAGACCUGGGAGCAGAUUACCCACAGGCAAAAUGAACGAGAUUUGGUACGACUGAACAAGGACAUUUUAGAAGAAUGGAGAUUCCAGUUUUGCAAAAUGCACAGUUUGAAACCAACUUUGAGGAAUAUCGCAAGUGCAUUCAUUAACAUUGGCAAAAAUGUACAAAUCGUUGAGAAAACUUUAUCAGAUUUGUUUUUACUGUUAUAAAAUAACUUUCUUCUGUUUGCUCCGGGUAAAAAUCGAGUGCGAAAUUCUCAGAGAGUAUUUAACUUGAUGAAAAGGAUUAAUAAUUCAAUUUUAACUGUUAAUUCAAAUAGAUAAUUUAAAGAAAUCUGACUAUAUCAAUAUACAUAUUUAAUACUUUGUGACAAAACAGUAAUUUAGGUUAACCGUGUUUGAACAUUUAUGGUAUACUGAUCAAUAAAGUCUUCUUUCUGUUUGAAAUAUCACUUUUACGUCUUGUAAUAUCAUAAAUUUGAUAUAUUUUAGUGUAUACCAUGUUUUUGAUUUUUAUUAUAUCUUUUUGUUCUGCUAGUUCGCUUAUUUUCUUGAAGUUACUCCUAAAAUAAACAAGGCCGUAAAAUGAUUGAUAUAGUUUAUUGUCCAAACUGAAUGUGUUUAUUGUUCUAAGAAGCAUUUUAUCAAUAGAAAUAGUAAAUACAGUUUAUUGUCAUAACUGAAUGUGUUAAUUGUUCCGAGAAGCCUCUUAUAAGUACAUAUGCAUGUAUAAUAUAAAGGUAAAAUGUAUAUCAGCAAUGUUAAACUAUACUUCCAUGGUUAAAAUCUAUCUAAGAUAGACACUGUCCAACAAAAUCAAAUACAAAACUUCCGCUUUUCUGCUACAUAGACAACAUUUGUUGCUUGAUGAAAUUGUUGGCUGCAAGUUUAAAGAACAAAUACUUCUUUUAUUGUCAGUACCAGUUAGACACAUUAACUUUGCAGUCUGUAUUAAAACAUUUACAUUUUUUACUUGUUUUCGUCUUGAAUAAACAACUUUUAUAAUUGG
Mytilus californianus (California mussel) is the source of this 1319-nucleotide long non-coding RNA. RefSeq lists it as uncharacterized. The transcript has 3 exons. NCBI's taxonomy places the organism in Eukaryota, Metazoa, Mollusca, Bivalvia, Mytilida, Mytilidae. The record is from RefSeq and is a predicted model, not a curated record.